GAUGAACGCUGGCGGCGUGCCUAAUACAUGCAAGUCGAGCGAACAGACGAGGAGCUUGCUCCUUUGACGUUAGCGGCGGACGGGUGAGUAACACGUAGGUAACCUCCCUAUAUGACUGGGAUAACUUCGGGACACCGGAGCUACUACCGUAUAAUAUUUCGAACCGCAUGGUUCGAUAGUGAAAGAUGGCUUUGCUCUCACUUAUAGAUGGACUUGCGCCGUAUUAGCUAGUUGGUAAGGUAACGGCUUACCAAGGCGACGAUACGUAUCCGACCUGAGAGGAUGAUCGGCCACACUGGAACUGAGACACGGUCCAGACUCCUACGGGAGGCAGCAGUGGGGAAUCUUCGGCAAUGGGCGAAAGCCUGACGGAGCAACGCCGCGUGAGUGAUGAAGGUCUUCGGAUCGUAAAACUCUGUUAUUAGGGAAGAACAAACGUGUAAGUAAAUGUGCACGUCUUGACGGUACCUAAUCAGAAAGCCACGGCUAACUACGUG
Molecule: ribosomal RNA, 497 nt
Filed under: uncultured bacterium
Lineage: Bacteria
Description: partial 16S ribosomal RNA
Rfam family: Bacterial small subunit ribosomal RNA
Source: RNAcentral